AGAGGGAGCCUAGAGAGAUUGCUACCACUUCCAAGGAAGGCAGCAGGCGCGAAAAUUACCCAAUAAAAAUACUUUGAGGUAGUAACAAAAAAUAACGACAACGUAAAUUACAUUUAAAAGUGUAAUUGUUGAUUGUAAUGAGUACAAUUUAAAAAAAUUAAUUAGAAUCAAUUAGAGGGCAAGUCUGGUGCCAGCAGCCGCGGUAAUUCCAGCUCUAAUAGCGUAUAUUUAAGUUGUUGUAUUUAAAAAGCUCGUAGUUGAAUUUUGAAAAAAUAUAUUUGAUAAGAAGAAGUGGAAAAAUUCACUUUUUCUUUCAUGUUUGGUCUUCUCACUUUAAUGAUUAAUAGGGACUAUUGGGGCAAUUAAUAUUUCUACACGAGCGGUGAAAUGUUUAGACUGUAGAAAGAUUAACUAAUGCGAAAGCAUUUUGCAAAGGUGUUUUCAUUAAUCAAGAACGAAAGUUAAGGGAUUAAAGAUGAUCAGAUACCGUCGUAAUCUUAACUAUAAACAAUGUCGACAAAAGAUGGGAUUGAAAAUACAAAUGUAUUUUCUUUCAAAAAAAGGUACUUAAAUGGUGAAUAAAUAUAGCAAUAUGUUUAUUCGCUUGUAACUGUCUCUUCCUGAAUUUCGUAAGAAAUUAAGAGUGAUCGGACUUUGGGGGGAGUAUGGUCGCAAGGCUGAAACUUAAAGGAAUUGACGGAAGAGCACCACAAGGUUGUGGAACUUGCGGUUUAAUUUGACCCAACACGGGAAAACUCACCAGGUCAGGACAUAAUAAGGAUUGACAGAUUAAUAGAUCUUUCAAAAGAGGGUUAUACCUCUGUAGAAAUCAAUGUAAGUUAAAGGUAAUAUCAGGUCUGUGAUGCCCUUAGAUGUUCUGGGCCACACGCGUGUUACAAUGGUAAAGAUCAAAGGGUAUUGGAAAAGAAGGGUUUCAGAUGUAAAAGUUUGUUAUUUGACUUUUCUAUUGCUUAAUAGAAAUAUUUGGCUAAUCCUUUUUCGAAUCUUUUUUACCAUAUCUGGGAUAGAUGCUUGUAAUUUUUCAUCUUCAACUUGGAAUACCUAGUAAACAUAAUUCAACAAAUUAUGUUGAUUACGUCCCUGCUCUUUGUACACACCGCCCGUCGCUCCUACCGAUUGAAUUAUCCGAUGAGUUA
RNAcentral lists this ribosomal RNA (1157 nucleotides) under uncultured soil eukaryote. RNAcentral's name for it is "partial small subunit ribosomal RNA". It matches the Rfam family "Eukaryotic small subunit ribosomal RNA", at positions 387 to 1708 of the family's 1831-position model. The record is from RNAcentral.